This 479-nucleotide ribosomal RNA is filed under the name uncultured Sphingobacteriales bacterium. RNAcentral describes it as "bacterial SSU rRNA". It matches the Rfam family "Bacterial small subunit ribosomal RNA", at positions 902 to 1382 of the family's 1533-position model. Lineage: Bacteria; Pseudomonadati; Bacteroidota; Sphingobacteriia; Sphingobacteriales. The record is from RNAcentral.
CAAAGGAAUUGACGGGGCCCGCACAAGCGGAGGAGCAUGUGGUUUAAUUCGAUGAUACGCGAGGAACCUUACCUGGGCUCGAACGUAAGAUGACUGUAGGUGAAAGCUUACAUCUCUUCGGAGCAUCUUACGAGGUGCUGCAUGGUUGUCGUCAGCUCGUGCCGUGAGGUGUCGGGUUAAGUCCCAUAACGAGCGCAACCCCUACCUUUAGUUGCCAUCAGGUUAAGCUGGGGACUCUAAAGGAACUGCCUACGCAAGUAGUGAGGAAGGCGGGGAUGACGUCAAAUCAGCACGGCCCUUACGUCCAGGGCUACACACGUGCUACAAUGGCCGAUACAGAGGGCAGCUACCUGGUGACAGGAUGCAAAUCUCCAAAGUCGGUCUCAGUUCGGAUCGGAGUCUGCAACCCGACUCCGUGAAGUUGGAUUCGCUAGUAAUCGCGCAUCAGCCAUGGCGCGGUGAAUACGUUCCCGGGCCUU